ACUGCCCCAGCCAUACAUAAUAAUGAUGACAAUGAGUGUUUCUGGUUGUCUCAUUCUGCAUGGCAGUGCAAGCCCUGCCCCUCUCAGGCUGCAGGCAUUGCUAUUGGACUGAGUUCUAGAUGGACAGGCAUUUCCUCCAGUAGCAAGAGACCGUUGGACAGCCCAGGGUCAGCAGCACACGUCUCCAGCUGUCUCUCUUGACAGGUGCUCUAAGGUGUUGCCUCUGUUGGUAGAGCAGUUGCAGCAGGUCUCUGCAUCAUCAUACCCCUCUGUCACCCUGUCCCUGAUCAAGUUUAUAUAAUGGAGCCUGAGAGAGAUAGACAACAGCACACAGCCCGUGGCUCUGUCAUCCACUCUGCGCCGUCUGGUGAAGAGGUAUCCAGGGCUCCGACCCAGCAGCAGGACCCCAGCAGCCCCCCUUUCCAUUAAUCAAACAACCAACCAAUCACUUUUUAUUUGUAUCAUGCUUUUCAAAAAUACAUUGAUGGGAGAACUUGCACAAUUGGUGGCUGACUAAAUACUUUUUUGCCCCACUGCAAGUGGGUUAUGUCAAGGAUUUCCUCCUCUUCUUCCGAAGAGGAGAGGCGAAAAGGAUCAGAGGACCAAUAUGCGGCGUGCUGACAUGCUACUCCCUCCACAGUGACCUGGUGUGUGUGGAUGUCAGGGGGCUGUUUCUGCAGUAUGGGGGAGUGUCUGUCCUCUUAGCCCUGCUCUGAGGGGGAAAGAAGGGGCUGCAGACCCCCAUAGACAUCCUACUGCAGCUCAGUGCAGAGUCACGGUAUCUGUCUGAGUUCCGGCCUGCGCGCACCACUGAGGACUUGUUCCAUACAGCAGCUGUUCUUGUGAAUAGCCCCCAGACUAGAACUUCCUCUUCUGG
This is a long non-coding RNA of Oncorhynchus tshawytscha (Chinook salmon), 877 nucleotides long. NCBI's taxonomy places the organism in Eukaryota, Metazoa, Chordata, Actinopteri, Salmoniformes, Salmonidae. The record is from Ensembl.